CCUACGGGUGGCAGCAGUGGGGGAUAUUGCACAAUGGGGGGAACCCUGAUGCAGCGACGCCGCGUGGGUGAAGGAGCGUUUCGGCGCGUAAAGCCCUAUCGGCAGGGAAGAAAAUGACGGUACCUGACCAACAAGCCCCGGAUAACUACGUGCCAGCAGCCGCGGGAAUACGGAGGGGGCAAGCGUUAUCCGGAUUUACUGGGUGUAAGGGGGGCGCAGGCGGCAAUGCAAGCCAGGGGUGAAAGCCCGGGGCUCAACCCCGGGACGGCUCUUGGAACUGCAGGGCUGGAGUACAGGAGGGGCAGGCGGAAUGCCUGGUGUAGCGGUGAAAUGCGUAGAUAUUAGGAGGAACACCGGUGGCGAAGGCGGCCUGCUGGACUGUGACUGACGUUGAGGCCCGAAGGCGUGGGGAGCGAACAGGAUUAGAUACCCCAGUAGUC
Molecule: ribosomal RNA, 440 nt
Filed under: uncultured bacterium
Lineage: Bacteria
Description: partial 16S ribosomal RNA
Rfam family: Bacterial small subunit ribosomal RNA
Source: RNAcentral